UGAUAUGUGCAUACUAACAACAUUAAUGCAUUGGAUCCCAUUAGAACACUAUAGCUAAGAACCCUUGGUCUAGAGUAGUAAUGGGAUGGGGGACCUCCCAAGAAGCUAUAGUGUUUUACUUU
Molecule: non-coding RNA, 122 nt
Organism: Picea glauca (white spruce)
Lineage: Eukaryota; Viridiplantae; Streptophyta; Pinopsida; Pinales; Pinaceae
Source: Rfam